UUAAGCGACUAAGCGUACACGGUGGAUGCCCUGGCAGUCAGAGGCGAUGAAGGACGUGCUAAUCUGCGAAAAGCGUCGGUAAGGUGAUAUGAACCGUUAUAACCGGCGAUGUCCGAAUGGGGAAACCCAGUGUGAUUCGUCACACUAUCGUUAACUGAAUACAUAGGUUAACGAGGCGAACCGGGGGAACUGAAACAUCUAAGUACCCCGAGGAAAAGAAAUCAACCGAGAUUCCCCCAGUAGCGGCGAGCGAACGGGGAGCAGCCCAGAGUCUGAAUCAGCUUGUGUGUUAGUGGAACGGUCUGGAAAGUCCGACGGUACAGGGUGAUAGUCCCGUACACCAAAAUGCACAGGCUGUGAACUCGAAGAGUAGGGCGGGACACGUGGUAUCCUGUCUGAAUAUGGGGGGACCAUCCUCCAAGGCUAAAUACUCCUGACUGACCGAUAGUGAACCAGUACCGUGAGGGAAAGGCGAAAAGAACCCCGGCGAGGGGAGUGAAAAAGAACCUGAAACCGUGUACGUACAAGCAGUGGGAGCACCUUCGGGUGUGACUGCGUACCUUUUGUAUAAUGGGUCAGCGACUUAUAUUCUGUAGCAAGGUUAACCGUAUAGGGGAGCCGCAGGGAAACCGAGUCUUAACUGGGCGUUAAGUUGCAGGGUAUAGACCCGAAACCCGGUGAUCUAGCCAUGGGCAGGUUGAAGGUUGGGUAACACUAACUGGAGGACCGAACCGACUAAUGUUGAAAAAUUAGCGGAUGACUUGUGGCUGGGGGUGAAAGGCCAAUCAAACCGGGAGAUAGCUGGUUCUCCCCGAAAGCUAUUUAGGUAGCGCCUCGUGAACUCAUCUUCGGGGGUAGAGCACUGUUUCGGCUAGGGGGUCAUCCCGACUUACCAACCCGAUGCAAACUACGAAUACCGAAGAAUGUUAUCACGGGAGACACACGGCGGGUGCUAACGUCCGUCGUGAAGAGGGAAACAACCCAGACCGCCAGCUAAGGUCCCAAAGUCAUGGUUAAGUGGGAAACGAUGUGGGAAGGCACAGACAGCCAGGAUGUUGGCUUAGAAGCAGCCAUCAUUUAAAGAAAGCGUAAUAGCUCACUGGUCGAGUCGGCCUGCGCGGAAGAUGUAACGGGGCUAAACCAUGCACCGAAGCUGCGGCAGCGACACUAUGUGUUGUUGGGUAGGGGAGCGUUCUGUAAGCCUGCGAAGGUGACCUGUGAGGGUUGCUGGAGGUAUCAGAAGUGCGAAUGCUGACAUAAGUAACGAUAAAGCGGGUGAAAAGCCCGCUCGCCGGAAGACCAAGGGUUCCUGUCCAACGUUAAUCGGGGCAGGGUGAGUCGACCCCUAAGGCGAGGCCGAAAGGCGUAGUCGAUGGGAAACAGGUUAAUAUUCCUGUACUUGGUGUUACUGCGAAGGGGGGACGGAGAAGGCUAUGUUAGCCGGGCGACGGUUGUCCCGGUUUAAGCAUGUAGGCUGGUUAUCCAGGCAAAUCCGGAUAAUCAAGGCUGAGGUGUGAUGACGAGGCACUACGGUGCUGAAGUAACAAAUGCCCUGCUUCCAGGAAAAGCCUCUAAGCAUCAGGUAACAUCAAAUCGUACCCCAAACCGACACAGGUGGUCAGGUAGAGAAUACCAAGGCGCUUGAGAGAACUCGGGUGAAGGAACUAGGCAAAAUGGUGCCGUAACUUCGGGAGAAGGCACGCUGGUGUGUAGGUGAAGCCCCUGCGGGUGGAGCUGAGACCAGUCGAAGAUACCAGCUGGCUGCAACUGUUUAUUAAAAACACAGCACUGUGCAAACACGAAAGUGGACGUAUACGGUGUGACGCCUGCCCGGUGCCGGAAGGUUAAUUGAUGGGGUUAUCCGUAAGGAGAAGCUCUUGAUCGAAGCCCCGGUAAACGGCGGCCGUAACUAUAACGGUCCUAAGGUAGCGAAAUUCCUUGUCGGGUAAGUUCCGACCUGCACGAAUGGCGUAAUGAUGGCCAGGCUGUCUCCACCCGAGACUCAGUGAAAUUGAACUCGCUGUGAAGAUGCAGUGUACCCGCGGCAAGACGGAAAGACCCCGUGAACCUUUACUAUAGCUUGACACUGAACAUUGAGCCUUGAUGUGUAGGAUAGGUGGGAGGCUUUGAAGCGUGGACGCCAGUCUGCGUGGAGCCAACCUUGAAAUACCACCCUUUAAUGUUUGAUGUUCUAACGUUGGCCCCUUACCGGGGUUGCGGACAGUGUCUGGUGGGUAGUUUGACUGGGGCGGUCUCCUCCCAAAGCGUAACGGAGGAGCACGAAGGUUAGCUAAUCCUGGUCGGACAUCAGGAGGUUAGUGCAAUGGCAUAAGCUAGCUUGACUGCGAGCGUGACGGCGCGAGCAGGUGCGAAAGCAGGUCAUAGUGAUCCGGUGGUUCUGAAUGGAAGGGCCAUCGCUCAACGGAUAAAAGGUACUCCGGGGAUAACAGGCUGAUACCGCCCAAGAGUUCAUAUCGACGGCGGUGUUUGGCACCUCGAUGUCGGCUCAUCACAUCCUGGGGCUGAAGUAGGUCCCAAGGGUAUGGCUGUUCGCCAUUUAAAGUGGUACGCGAGCUGGGUUUAGAACGUCGUGAGACAGUUCGGUCCCUAUCUGCCGUGGGCGCUGGAGAAUUGAGGGGGGCUGCUCCUAGUACGAGAGGACCGGAGUGGACGCAUCACUGGUGUUCGGGUUGUCAUGCCAAUGGCACUGCCCGGUAGCUAAAUGCGGAAGAGAUAAGUGCUGAAAGCAUCUAAGCACGAAACUUGCCCCGAGAUGAGUUCUCCCUGAGACUUUAAGUCUCCUGAAGGAACGUUGAAGACGACGACGUUGAUAGGCCGGGUGUGUAAGCGCAGCGAUGCGUUGAGCUAACCGGUACUAAUGAACCGUGAGGCUUAACCUU
This 2900-nucleotide ribosomal RNA is filed under the name Klebsiella pneumoniae. RNAcentral describes it as "bacterial LSU rRNA". It matches the Rfam family "Bacterial large subunit ribosomal RNA". The record is from RNAcentral. Lineage: Bacteria; Pseudomonadati; Pseudomonadota; Gammaproteobacteria; Enterobacterales; Enterobacteriaceae. RNAcentral also lists the same sequence under 37 other names.